Long non-coding RNA from Leopardus geoffroyi (Geoffroy's cat), 922 nucleotides. RefSeq lists it as uncharacterized. NCBI's taxonomy places the organism in Eukaryota, Metazoa, Chordata, Mammalia, Carnivora, Felidae. The transcript has 4 exons. The record is from RefSeq and is a predicted model, not a curated record.
GAAGAAACUGAGGUCAAGAAACAGACCUGGGACUUGAACCAGAUCCUCGGAGCUCCAGGUGGUGCUCCUCUGAGCAGCCAGGGCUCUCUCCCUUCGUUGGGCGACCUACACUAGAAGAACUUUCCAUUGUCACCUUGAGAAUCUGGGUAGCUGCUGAGUAGCCACCAGUCCAAAAAAAAUGAGGCGGUUCAUGGAGUCAACCCAAACCCAACCUGUACCUGGAGCCCAACCCGAAAGAGCCACAGAUGAUCCACAGAACUGUGAGGCAGAAACAUCAGUGUAUAAACAUGUACAUGAGCGAGAGUUACUUGGAUGGUCUGUUGCUGGCAGCCAAAGGCACCCUAACUGAGGCAGAAACAAUUACAUAUGGAGACAGUGAAAGGAAAGCCGAACCCCCGAGUGCCAGUGCAGCAAAACAAGGCUGGAGUUGCCCUUCCCCUGGAGGAGAGGGAUGCUUUUGGGAAGCCAACCAAAGGUAGUGAGAGACUGAGGACCGUCCCGAAGGAGAAGUACAAAUAACACGGUUAGCCUGGGCCGGAUCCGCUGAAACCAGAAGUGGGGGAAAAGGCAGGUGUGGCAUAUGCUGUUUGCUCACCACCACGGAGACAAUUGACCCACCUUGGUUUGGAUUACGAGAUGGCCAAGUGACAGGGCUGGAGCUUAAGCUUUCGAUAUCCUAAAGAGAGGAUUUUAUACGGUUUUAGAACAUGGUCUAAAAGGGGGUACCUCUUUCACUCACUGUAGUAUAUAUUCAUCACUUAUUAUGGAACGAGUGCCGGCCAGGUCUGUCUGGAGACACAGCAGUGAGGGAGGUUUCACGGUCUCUGUUCUCAUGCAUUCUAGUUGGGGGAGGUGGAGGACAAGAUCAGGUGGCAACUAAACGCAGAGACCUGGGUGGUGAGAAAGAGCUGGUUGUGCAAAG